Molecule: non-coding RNA, 76 nt
Organism: Myotis lucifugus (little brown bat)
Lineage: Eukaryota; Metazoa; Chordata; Mammalia; Chiroptera; Vespertilionidae
Source: Rfam
GACGGUUCUCAGGUGACCCAUCCUAGCAUUGGGCUCCCUCCUUUCUGGUUCCGGGGUGCGUCACCCGAGAACCUCA